Molecule: ribosomal RNA, 446 nt
Filed under: uncultured bacterium
Lineage: Bacteria
Description: bacterial SSU rRNA
Rfam family: Bacterial small subunit ribosomal RNA
Source: RNAcentral
UGCCAGACUCCUACGGGAGGCAGCAGUGGGGAAUUUUGCGCAAUGGGGGAAACCCUGACGCAGCAACGCCGCGUGCGGGACGAAGGCCCUCGGGUUGUAAACCGCUUUCAGCAGGGAAGAUCCAAGACGGUACCUGCAGAAGAAGCUCCGGCUAACUACGUGCCAGCAGCCGCGGUAAUACGGAGGAUGCGAGCGUUAUCCGGAUUUAUUGGGUUUAAAGGGUGCGCAGGCGGAGGUGCAAGUCAGCGGUCAAAUUGCGGGGCUCAACCCCGUACUGCCGUUGAAACUGCAUCCCUUGAGUGCGCGAGAAGUAUGCGGAAUGCGUGGUGUAGCGGUGAAAUGCAUAGAUAUCACGCAGAACUCCGAUUGCGAAGGCAGCAUACCGGCGCGCAACUGACGCUCAUGCACGAAAGCGUGGGUAUCGAACAGGAUUAGAUACCCCAGUA